AAGGUUUUCGGAUCGUAAAGCUCUGUUGUUAGGGAAGAACAAGUGCCGUUCAAAUAGGGCGGCACCUUGACGGUACCUAACCAGAAAGCCACGGCUAACUACGUGCCAGCAGCCGCGGUAAUACGUAGGUGGCAAGCGUUGUCCGGAAUUAUUGGGCGUAAAGGGCUCGCAGGCGGUUUCUUAAGUCUGAUGUGAAAGCCCCCGGCUCAACCGGGGAGGGUCAUUGGAAACUGGGGAACUUGAGUGCAGAAGAGGAGAGUGGAAUUCCACGUGUAGCGGUGAAAUGCGUAGAGAUGUGGAGGAACACCAGUGGCGAAGGCGACUCUCUGGUCUGUAACUGACGCUGAGGAGCGAAAGCGUGGGGAGCGAACAGGAUUAGAUACCCUGGUAGUCCACGCCGUAAACGAUGAGUGCUAAGUGUUAGGGGGUUUCCGCCCCUUAGUGCUGCAGCUAACGCAUUAAGCACUCCGCCUGGGGAGUACGGUCGCAAGACUGAAACUCAAAGGAAUUGACGGGGGCCCGCACAAGCGGUGGAGCAUGUGGUUUAAUUCGAAGCAACGCGAAGAACCUUACCAGGUCUUGACAUCCUCUGACAAUCCUAGAGAUAGGACGUCCCCUUCGGGGGCAGAGUGACAGGUGGUGCAUGGUUGUCGUCAGCUCGUGUCGUGAGAUGUUGGGUUAAGUCCCGCAACGAGCGCAACCCUUGAUCUUAGUUGCCAGCAUUCAGUUGGGCACUCUAAGGUGACUGCCGGUGACAAACCGGAGGAAGGUGGGGAUGACGUCAAAUCAUCAUGCCCCUUAUGACCUGGGCUACACACGUGCUACAAUGGACAGAACAAAGGGCAGCGAAACCGCGAGGUUAAGCCAAUCCCACAAAUCUGUUC
This 884-nucleotide ribosomal RNA is filed under the name Bacillus sp. (in: firmicutes). Its description in RNAcentral is "bacterial SSU rRNA". It matches the Rfam family "Bacterial small subunit ribosomal RNA", at positions 411 to 1287 of the family's 1533-position model. Lineage: Bacteria; Bacillati; Bacillota; Bacilli; Caryophanales; Bacillaceae. The record is from RNAcentral.